Molecule: transfer RNA, 91 nt
Filed under: Felis catus (domestic cat)
Lineage: Eukaryota; Metazoa; Chordata; Mammalia; Carnivora; Felidae
Rfam family: tRNA
About the family: Transfer RNA (tRNA) molecules are approximately 80 nucleotides in length. Their secondary structure includes four short double-helical elements and three loops (D, anti-codon, and T loops).
Source: Rfam by way of RNAcentral
GCCUGGGUGGCUCAGUCGGUUGAGCUCCUGACUCUUGAUUUCAGCUCAGGUUACGAUCCCAGGGUCGUGGGAUCAAGCCCCGCAUCAGGCU